CUAAGUUUGAUGGCGACCGGCGCACGGGUGAGUAACACGUAUCCAACCUGCCGAUGACUCGGGGAUAGCCUUUCGAAAGAAAGAUUAAUACCCGAUGGCAUAGUUCUUCCGCAUGGUGGAACUAUUAAAGAAUUUCGGUCAUCGAUGGGGAUGCGUUCCAUUAGGUUGUCGGCGGGGUAACGGCCCACCAAGCCUUCGAUGGAUAGGGGUUCUGAGAGGAAGGUCCCCCACAUUGGAACUGAGACACGGUCCAAACUCCUACGGGAGGCAGCAUG
Molecule: ribosomal RNA, 275 nt
Filed under: uncultured bacterium
Lineage: Bacteria
Description: partial 16S ribosomal RNA
Rfam family: Bacterial small subunit ribosomal RNA
Source: RNAcentral